This 201-nucleotide ribosomal RNA is filed under the name uncultured bacterium. Its description in RNAcentral is "partial 16S ribosomal RNA". It matches the Rfam family "Bacterial small subunit ribosomal RNA", at positions 328 to 539 of the family's 1533-position model. The record is from RNAcentral.
ACGCUCGACACCUACGGGAGGCAGCAGUGGGGAAUAUUGGGCAAUGGGCGCAAGCCUGACCCAGCAACGCCGCGUGAAGGAAGAAGGCCCUCGGGUUGUAAACUUCUUUUGACAGGGACGAAACAAAUGACGGUACCUGUCGAAUAAGCCACGGCUAACUACGUGCCAGCAGCCACGGUAAUCUGAGCGGGCUGGCAAGGC